This 437-nucleotide ribosomal RNA is filed under the name uncultured bacterium. RNAcentral's name for it is "partial 16S ribosomal RNA". It matches the Rfam family "Bacterial small subunit ribosomal RNA", at positions 29 to 507 of the family's 1533-position model. The record is from RNAcentral.
AGCGAACGCUGGCGGCAGGCUUAACACAUGCAAGUCGAGCGGGCAUCCUUGUGGUGUCAGCGGCAGACGGGUGAGUAACGCGUGGGAACGUGCCCUUCGUUUCGGAAUAACUCAGGGAAACUUGAGCUAAUACCGGAUACGUGCGAAAACAGCAAGGUUUAUCUGCCGAAGGAUCGGCCCGCGUCUGAUUAGCUAGUUGGUGAGGUUACGGUUCACCAAGGGGACGAUCAGUAGCUGGGCUGAGAGGAUGAGCAGCCACACUGGGACUGAGACACGGUCCGGACUCCUACGGAAGGCAGCAGUGGGGAAUAUAGGAAUAUGGGGGGAAUCAUGAUCCAGCCAGGCUGGUUGAGCGAUGACGGCCUUAGAGUUGUAAAGCUCUUUUCUCCGGGACGAUAAUGACGGUACCGGAGGAAUAAGCACCGGCUAACUUCGUG